GCUCAAGCUUCUAAUUGAUAUGCUACAUGAGUGAUCCAAUCAUGUCAUCUAAUCUUCUGCUGCUCAAAGCAAAUUUAAUGAAUUUUAACGCCACACUUUUGGAGCAGUGUGAAAUUAUUUUUGUUCAAUUCUAUGAGUGUUUGAUCAUGACUUGAGAACUGCAUUGUGAAUAGCUGUGUUUGGUGUCAUUUGAUCAUAUUAUCCCAAGAAUAGGUAUUGACGUAGAACUCAGAACAAUGGGAUCUCUGUGGCAUUUAUUUCCUUGCAUAUUAAGAAUGCAGUUUCUUAUUGGAUAUCUUUAUCAUGUAAUUGAGGGAAAAGGAUGGACAAAAGAUUUUAAAACAUGCCAUCAUAAAUCUAGAAUAAAAACACACAUUUCUCUAAGUUAGUUCUUUCAACUUCUUCUGCUUAAGAGAAAACCAGCACCACUGCCAUGUGGAAUAUUUAGAUACUUGGUCUUAUCUUUAAUAUGUUAUGUUCGGUCUUGUAUGAAUGAAUUAUAUGGAGCGUGCCAUGUAUGGAUUGCACAAAAAAAAUAAGAGAUUAUUGUUAAACUGCUAUACUGACUAAGGAAAUAUUUCAUCAGGUCUGUCGACUUUGUCAGCAG
RNAcentral lists this unclassified non-coding RNA (607 nucleotides) under Hevea brasiliensis (rubber tree). Lineage: Eukaryota; Viridiplantae; Streptophyta; Magnoliopsida; Malpighiales; Euphorbiaceae. The record is from RNAcentral.